This 3902-nucleotide small RNA is filed under the name Arabidopsis thaliana (thale cress). RNAcentral describes it as "ATSL017980". Lineage: Eukaryota; Viridiplantae; Streptophyta; Magnoliopsida; Brassicales; Brassicaceae. The record is from RNAcentral.
AAAGAAUAUCAAUACGUACACUAGAUAUAGAAAUCGGAAUUAGGUACGUUGUGAUCCAUUUCAGCUACUGUUAGGGGUAAGAUUUGGGCUUGCUUGGCCCAAGGCCCAAAUCCAAGUCAAAGGCCUAAGCAGAAUGUUAAGUCAAGAGGGUAGGCUCGUCAAAAUCCUGGAGGAGUGUCCUACACGCAGAAGGCUAUAAAUACGGAAUAGCAUGUCUUGUCAAAGGGGGAUUCCGCCGGACACGCAGAGACACAGAGCAGCUCGUCAGCUCACCCGUCCGAAGUAUCCCGCCAGCCGGUCCGUCUCAAGCAGCUCGUCAGCUCACCCGUCUCAAGCAGCUCGUCAGCUCUCCCCUCCGAAGUAUCCCGCCAGCCGGUCCGUAUCAAGCAGCUCGUCAGCUCACCCGUCUCAAGCAGCUCGUCAGCUCUCCCCUCCGAAGUAUCCCGCCAGCCGGUCCGUCUCAAACAGCUCGUCAGCUCACCCGUCUCAAGCAGCUCGUCAGCUCACCCGUCCGAAGUAUCCCGCCAGCCGGUCCGUCUCAAGCAGCUCGUCAGCUCACCCGUCUCAAGCAGAUCGUCAGCUCACCCGUCUCAAGCAGCUCGUCAGCUCUCCCCUCCGAAGUAUCCCGCCAGCCGGUCCGUCUCAAGCAGCUCGUCAGCUCACCCGUCUCAAUCAGCUCGUCAGCUCUCCCCUCCGAAGUAUCCCGCCAGCCGGUCCGUCUCAAACAGCUCGUCAGCUCACCCGUCCGAAGUAUCCCGCCAGCCGGUUCGUCUCAAGCAGCUCGUCAGCUCACCCGUCUCAAGCAGCUCGUCAGCUCACCCGUCUCAAGCAGCUCGUCAGCUCACCCGUCUCAAGCAGCUCGUCAGCUCACCCGUAUCAAGCAGCUCGUCAGCUCACCCGUCCAAAGUACCUCGUCUGCCCAUCCAUCUUGAGUAACUCGUUUACUCGUCCGUCCGAAGUGUCUCUCCGACCUGCCCGCCCAAAAUAACUAACCUACUCGCACGUCUCGAGAAGCCAUCCAGCUCGUCGCACAUCUGCCGGCUCGUCAAUUACCUGCCGACCUUCCUCCAAUAAUGGCCUAGCUCGUUUAUCACAAUAUGAACUACGUGUGGCUUGAUCCCUUUCUAAGGGUACGUAGGCAACCUUUUACAAGGUUCAGCUAUAAAACGAAUAAACUCUAUUCUUCCUCGGAAGAUCGUCUUCCGGCCUCAAGCUCGUCUUUCAUCUACAAUCGGCUCGUUCUUACUCCAUUUAUGCUCGUUGAAGAAAUCAUCAUUUGUAAUCCGUCCAAUCCGCCUAAGUCGCGGGCUCGUCAUUAAUAGAAAGAUUCUUCUUCCUUCCCUAGAGAUCCCAUUUUCGUACUUGUGUGAUUCGUGCAUCAACAGCUACCAUAAACUAUUAAUUGUAGUGAGUAAGUGGACUUUAGAUUCAUAUAGAGUUAUGCGAUUCGGUUGAACGUAUCAUACGAAUCUCAGUGUCUACCUAAUUAAUACACAUAUAAUGCAAAAAGAACAAACGCAUACUAUAGAUGAUAAGACGUGAUUGGACACAUUAAACACAUAGUUUACGGCAUUACAUAAACCGAUACACAUAAUUAAUUACGUGUUACUUCUGUGGCGUGUAGUAGAAAGACUAGCUGCAUAUGGCACCUAAUUAAUACUCAUAUAUGGUUCAUGCGAAAUGCUGAUAUGUAUAAGGUAAUAUAUACCACCACUUUGGUACCACAAUGCAACAUCUAAAUUCGAUUAUGAUAAGCUAUGAUAAGCUAUCUUCUCAAUAUCAAUUAAUCGCUUCUUUAUUCUAAUACCACUCCUUAAUAUAUGCCUAUCAUAUCAUUAUUUCACAACGCAUGUUUACUUUUGUUAUGAAAUAGUUUUGUUUAAAGGGUGGUAACGUAAUUUAUGGGUUCCAUUAGGAUUGUGAUUUAUUUUCUCUCCUCAUCCUUAUGCAUGUAAGAAUUUGCAUUUUUAUAAAUAUAUACUAUGAAUUCAGUCCAACCUUACAGUGUGAACAAUUUAAUUAAACGAAGCAUAAUCCUAAAAGAAAAUAAAACUAAAAAAAAAUAGUUAAGAUGGUAUAAGAUAAUUUUAUUAAGUUAAGAUGUUGCACUUUUCACUAAGUAAAUCAAACAUUUACAUAGUGAUUUGUCAUAAUGUGCAUAUUCCAUUUUUUCGGGUCUUUCAUUUCCAUAUUCCUCAGCUCUUUCAUAUAUUGAAGAUUGAAGAGAAUAAGAAAGACGCUUUUUAUAGGAAACGAAUUAAAGAGUGUUGACUUGCCGUAAAAGUAACUUAAAUUGUUCGUCGCCUGAGCAUGGAUUUAUAUAAACGUGAAGUACUAUACAAAACCCUAACCAACAUUUGAUCAAACGACAAUGAUGUCGGAACUUCCAGAGCAUUUGUUAGAAGAGAUACUCUACCGCGUUCCAGCUAUGUCUUUGAAACAGUUAGGGUCUACUUGCAAAGGAUGGAACUGUUUAUUCAAGGAUAGGAGAUUCACAAGAAAACACUUGGAUAAAGGCCCAAAGCAGUUUCUGAUUCACAUGUCUAAAGGGCUUAGGGUACGCUCGAUGAGUGUCGAUCUCCAUAGACUUCCACAUGUAAAAGUCACAGUUGAAUUUACCCUAAUCAACCCUAAAUAUCCUAGUUGUCUAGAUCAAGAUCAAUUCGAGAUAUAUAAAGUCUCUCACUGCGACGGCUUAUUGUUAUGCGUCUGCGUCACCAAGGAGGACAAUACUUGGCUCGCGGUAUGGAACCCGUGUACUGGUCAAACAAGGUGGAUUCAACCCAUGACUUAUAUGACAACUAUACUCUCGGAUCCUACCAAAAUAAUAGCUACAAUAUAUUGGCACACACUGGUUUUGGCUACGACCACGAAUUCCAAAUUUAUGAAAUUAACUCCAAUUCAUGGAGGAUUAUUGAUGCCACUUUGGACUUCAAAUUAGGGUAUAUUGGUCGUGGCGUGUCUUUGAAGGGAAAGACUUACUGGAUUGCUAGUGGUGAAGAAGAGAAACGGCUUGGCAAAUUCUUAAUCAGUUUUGAUUAUACGACAGAAAGAUUUGAACGUCUAUGUCUUCCGAAUAAGUAUCCUUGUUAUGCAACUCUGGCUCUAUCCGUUGUUAGAGAAGAGAAACUUUCCAUGUUAUCGCAACGCGGAAUUAAAUCAAAGGCAGAAAUAUGGGUGACAAAUAAGAUUGGUGAGACACAAGUGGUGUCGUGGAGCAUGGUCUUAGCUUUGGAUUUGCAGCCUAAACGUUGUAUUGGGGAAAGCGGAAGUUUCUUGGUCGACGAGAAGAAGAGAGUGGUCGUGUGUUGUGAUAAUAUUAGAGACCAAGGAAAAACCACGGUACACAUUUUUGGAGAGGACAACAAAGUGAAACAAGUGGGUUUUGAAGUCGGAUCAUCUCUGUAAUGUAUGUUUUAUUAUGUUCCAAGUUUGACUCAAAUCUACCAAGGUAUCACAGGCAAAAGAAAAAGGGACGAAUGAUCAUAGUGUUUGGUGUGGAUCUUGGAGCAACUAUCAGAUUUUUCAAUUAUGAUAAGUUUUCUUCUCAAUUUCAAUUAAUCGCUUCUUUAUGCCAUAAUUUAGAGGCAAUUGCUGUAAUAUUUCUAAAUUUUUUAGGCAUUCUUUACUUUGUACUUCUCCUUUUAAUUAUAUAGGUAGAUUUGAUGAUAAUUAGAAGAUUAAGACUUCAAAAAUGGAGAUUAUGUGAAAUUGAGAAAAGCAUCACACAAAGAAAAUGGUUUUUGGUGGAACAAUUGGGAUAUUUGCAUAACAUGAAUUUUGAUUCCGGUUUACUAUACAUUAUUUGUUUCUUGAUUCCGGUUUAGUAUAUCCUAGUACUUACUUAAAUCAAUAAUCCGGGCAUGGUUAAAAUUAAUCAGACGUUGAAUCAAUGAGACUCC